RNAcentral lists this long non-coding RNA (342 nucleotides) under Homo sapiens (human). RNAcentral describes it as "HSALNT0342345". Lineage: Eukaryota; Metazoa; Chordata; Mammalia; Primates; Hominidae. The record is from RNAcentral.
GGCAGUUGUGGAUGUGCUGACUGUGGAGUAGAUGGUUGAAGAACUGAGGCUGGGAGUACUCUCUGAGGGGGUCUCAGUGGUGGUGAUUGAAGAACUGAAGCUGGGAGUACUGUGUGAGGUGGUCUCCGUGGUGGUGAUCGAAGAAGUGAAGCUGGGAGUACUGUGUGAGGGGGUCUCGGUGGUGGUGAUCAAAGAAGUGAAGCUGGGAGUACUGUGGGAUGUGGUCUCGGUGGUGGUGAUUGAAGAAGUGAAGCUGGGAGUAUUGUGGGAUGUGGUCUCGGUGGUGGUGAUCGAAGAAGUGAAGCUGGGAGAGCUGUGUGAGGUGAUCUCAGUGGUGGUGGU